GUCGACUUUCUCUUUAUAUAUGAAAAAGUCGUCACCUAAUAAUACUACUUUUACCCUAUAAAUAACUCAAAAUAAUCAGUACUAAGCAUAAUUCAGGAAGCAUGGCUAAUAGCAAAGUUAGCAUCCUUACUCUCCUCCUAAUCUGCGGUAUGGUUACUGAUCUGUGCACUUUUUUGUAACUUAUAUUGGCUGAAUUUUGACACUUCUAUAAUGGCCAAGUGUUUUAUCAUUGUGAAACAAUAUUCCAAAAAUACUGUAAUAUAGAUCUUAUGAUUUUAGUUAAGCAGGCAUCUGUAAAUAUUGUGUGUUUUGAUAAAGAGAAGCAUCGAAGAAGUUACUUGUGCAUAUAAAGUAUUAAGGUUUUAGACAAAUUUUUACAUGCCUGCAGUUCAAUUUAUUGAUCAUUUUCUUUCUGGGCUUUUUUUUUCUUUAAUUAUUAAGCUUUUCCACUGGUAAGUUAAUCUUUUCUUCAUUUGUUUGUGGAUUUUGACGCGUUGUUGCAAUUCUUUAAGUUAUGCCAUUAAGUUGUAGCAUGAUAUAUACAUGAUUUUAUUACUACUGCUUAUUGAAUUUUCUUGGAAUUUUCUUUGAUCAUGCUUUAUACGCAAUACUAAAGAAGACCGAGAUGAACAAUAGGUUUGAUUUCUAUAUUAUGUUUUUCAUUCUAUGACAGGAUUGUUUUUCUUGGGAAGCAAUGUGCAAUAUGCAGAAGCCCAAAGGAAAAUUUGCCCACAAGUUUGCCUCAAAGUUGGCUACAUGACUUGCCCAAAAUCUGGCCCUAAGAAGCUUCAUCCAGGCUGCACAAACUGUUGCAAAGUAAAGAAGGGUUGCAAACUUUACAGAUCUAAUGGAAGCCUAAUUUGUACUGGAAAGUAAUUGGAUAUGAGAUAAAUCUUAAAUAAAAUGUCAUAUGUUUAUGCUAUAAACAGGCAAAAUAAAUAAAUGAAUCCCUUAUGUUUCUGAGAAAUAAAUACAAGAUUCAGGUUUAAUUAUAUUGAUGGACGUUUCUAUGAAAUUAUCCUUUACAUAAUUACUUCUAGAAGUUUAUUAGGUGAGACUUAGUUGUCGUAUACUCUUAUAUUCAUCUACUAGCCACCCACCGCCACGGACCUUGUGUGUAAUCAAAA
This 1127-nucleotide long non-coding RNA is filed under the name Olea europaea subsp. europaea. The record is from RNAcentral. Lineage: Eukaryota; Viridiplantae; Streptophyta; Magnoliopsida; Lamiales; Oleaceae.